Molecule: non-coding RNA, 685 nt
Organism: Poecilia reticulata (guppy)
Lineage: Eukaryota; Metazoa; Chordata; Actinopteri; Cyprinodontiformes; Poeciliidae
Source: RefSeq, a predicted model, not a curated record
UCAAACUGUGUUUCUGCACCUGACCAGUUUAACACCAGCUGAUAGUGGGAACUACUCCUGUGAGUGUUCUAAUCUUGAUGGAACAUUUAUUUUCCAUCUCAGCAUCACAGUUAAAGACUCAAAUCCCGAUGAGAAUCUGUCAGAUGAAAUUUGGAGCCAGUCURCAGGAGUGACUUAUUUUUCUGCUUUAACUGCUGCAGUUCUCCUAAUUAUAGUUUCAGUUUUUCUGGUAUUUAUUUACAGAAGACGUCCAMAUCGCACCUGUUUAAGAUCUGAAACAUCUGGAUCAUCUGUGCAUAGAUCUACGGCGGCCACAGGUGAAGACAACACAGAUGAACUGUACAYGRRUCUCCAGCGGCCAACAGCAGACAUCUACCAGACUGUUUCUUCAGGUCACCAUCGGCAUGAAACUCAAASAAACUCMACUAACGACAUCAUAACCGACGACGUGGAAAAUCUGGAAAGGARCAGGAUUUAUAGAAUCUAUGAAAAUGAUAUGAGAUAAAUAAAGUCUGAUAAACAUUUGGCCRAAUUUCCUUUCACUGUUUUACCGAGCGAGACUAAUUAUGAAGCUUUKUCAGUUAUUAACAUCGGUUUGUGUGGACAGAAUCUGCUUGCUGAAAAAUGACAGCUUAAGCUUCUCACUUGAUUUUUCCCAGUAAUAAAUUCUUUUUUAAAAAUUACA